Pelobates cultripes (western spadefoot toad) is the source of this 243-nucleotide non-coding RNA. The record is from the annotation of a GenBank genome assembly. NCBI's taxonomy places the organism in Eukaryota, Metazoa, Chordata, Amphibia, Anura, Pelobatidae.
CAUACCAUUUGUAAAAGUAGACAACCCAGGGUAUUCAAAGUGGAGUAUGUUCAGUCUUUUUUAGUAGCCACUUAGUCACAAACACUGGCCAAAUUUAGCAAUUAUAAUUUUUUUUGUGUUUUUCACACAAAAACAAAUAUGAACGCUAACUUUGGCCAGUGUUUGUGACAAAGUAGCUACUAAAACAGACUGGACAUACCCCAUGUUGAAUACCUUGGAUUCUCUAUUUUUGCAAAUGGUAUG